Molecule: long non-coding RNA, 828 nt
Filed under: Macaca mulatta (Rhesus monkey)
Lineage: Eukaryota; Metazoa; Chordata; Mammalia; Primates; Cercopithecidae
Description: lncRNA (ENSMMUG00000049497.1)
Source: RNAcentral
UGAAGCUAAAAAGCUUGGCCCUUAACAUGUUGUCAUAAAAGUGCCUGUGAAAUAGACAGGGAGAACAGGAACCAAAGAAGCUAUGGCUUUCAGUCUCAACAUGUCUUCUUAUUAAUGGUCCUAUUAAUUGCAAACGGGGAAAAGGUACCUUUACAGUGGACAAACAUGGAGGACACCACCUUAACCAAAUGAUUAAUCAAUACCAAAGUGAUGUUGUGUGCCUCCUGAUACAAUACACUGAUAAGGACACAACUGCACUUAUAAAGUUCUUCUAUCAAAAAUCCAUAACCUGAUUCUAAUCAAGAGAAAACUUCAGAAAACCCCAAACAAAAGUACUUGGUACAAAACAACUGUCCUGUAUUAUUCAAAACUGUCUAAUAGGACAUGGCAGUGAAAUGCAGUGGGUCCUGGACUGCGGGGGCUGGUGGUGAACUGAAGAGCUCCUCUUGCAGCCCAUUGUCACCUCGUCAGCUCCAUAGGCUGCAAAGUCCGGCCACGUCCUCGUGCCACAGCAACGCUCCCCGCCCCACCCCCGCCCCCUUCCCGGCCACUUUCUGCGCCUGCGUGCAUUUCAAGUUCUGGCGUGACAUCCGGGCACUACAUGACUGGAGCGUUUGGCUCGCGGAGAUGAACUUGGCGGUCUUCCUGUGCACGCGCAUAAAACCGUCCGCCUACUCAGAUGUGGCUGAGGGAGUGGACUGCUGCUGGUCAUCUCUAUCAGAGCUAUUCUACUCUUCAUACGUGAAGGAGUUUGGGUAUAAAAAGAACAAAAGGCAACAUUUGAAGAUAUCUCAGAAACCAUUCAAAAGGAAAAACCUUGAUGAUUAG